GCGCUUGUGGCGGAAUUCGGUAUACGCACUGGUUUCAGGUACCAGGCAUUGAGGGUUCGAAUCCCUCCGAGCGCACCA
RNAcentral lists this transfer RNA (78 nucleotides) under Rhizobium sp. MHM7A. Its description in RNAcentral is "tRNA-Leu". It matches the Rfam family "tRNA". Rfam says of the family: Transfer RNA (tRNA) molecules are approximately 80 nucleotides in length. Their secondary structure includes four short double-helical elements and three loops (D, anti-codon, and T loops). Lineage: Bacteria; Pseudomonadati; Pseudomonadota; Alphaproteobacteria; Hyphomicrobiales; Rhizobiaceae. The record is from RNAcentral.